CAAUUCCAAGUGCCAUUGGAAACCUAAUUUCCCUUAGCAGGCUUGCCUUGUCAUACAACGAACUUGAAGGAGUAAUUCCAGUCACUUUGGGUGAGCUAACUUCUUUGACAUCUGUGGACCUUUCCUAUAACAAACUCAAUGGAAGUCUCCCCAUAUGUUUCGGAGCCCUUGAAAAAUUAGAAGAGGUGCAUUUUUCUCAUAAUUCAUUGGAGGGUG
This 216-nucleotide unclassified non-coding RNA is filed under the name Hevea brasiliensis (rubber tree). The record is from RNAcentral. Lineage: Eukaryota; Viridiplantae; Streptophyta; Magnoliopsida; Malpighiales; Euphorbiaceae.